GAUAAACGCUGGCGGCGUGCCUAAAACAUGCAAGUCGAACGGGCUCUUCGGAGCUAGUGGCGGACGGCUGAGUAACACGUGGGUGACCUGCCCUCGAGCGGGGGAUAACUGCCCGAAAGG
This 120-nucleotide ribosomal RNA is filed under the name uncultured bacterium. Its description in RNAcentral is "partial 16S ribosomal RNA". It matches the Rfam family "Bacterial small subunit ribosomal RNA", at positions 28 to 158 of the family's 1533-position model. The record is from RNAcentral.